GUCCGUCAUUUAUCAUUUUACCUUAAUUUUAUGUUUUUAUCAAUUCUGUAAUUUAAUUAAGUUUAAUUUAUUUUUCAUCAAAGCCAAACACCCAUCCAUUAUUAAAUUAUAUUAUUUAGUUAGUUUUCUUUAUUGUUAGUCUUUUAAUUUAAUUUCCGUCCAUUUCAAUUCCUAGUGUCUAUUUUGAUUGUUUUUAUUAUUUUGAGUCAUUUUAAGUGUGUUUCGAAUUAUUAGAGUUUUUAGCCUAGUUUUGUGUCCUUGAGUCUUGUUUAAUAUUUUUUACUUUGUUUUUUUAUGUUUUUAAGAGGUUUUAGCAAGCCCUCCUAAUCCCCGGCCUAGAACGAUACCCUACUUAUACUUAUACUACAAUUGACAAAAAGAGGGUUUAAUUUUGUGUGCUUAUAUUUUUCACAUCAAAUUUUGGCGCCGUUGCCGGGGAUUAGUAACUUUGCUAAUCCUUUUAUUUUUGUUUUUGUUUAUGUUUAUAUUGGUGUUUGUGUAUUUUACUUUUGAUAUUUGAUUUAUUUUUCUUUCUUUGAUUUUAGGUUCAAAUGGAGCCGAGGGAAAUUUAAAGGAAAGAUGCGUCCGGCUAAAGACGUUAAAUCAAGCGCUUCUUGGGAGGCAACCCAAGCAUUCAACGAAGGGAGACUUUGGAAUCGCUAACCCAAUCAGCUUUGCAUUCUUCCACCCUUAUCUUUGCUGCUUUCAUUUUGUUUUGUUUAGUUAGUUGUGUUAUUUGGUUGAUUUCUGUGAGUUUGUGUUAUUUAGUUUAAGUGUGGGGGAAGGUUAACCAAAGUCUCUUUACAUUAAUUUACAUUUAAAAAAAAAUAAAAAAAUAAAAAAAUAAAAAAAUAAAAAAAUAAAAAUAAAAAAAAAUAAAAAAUUAAAAAUUAAAAAAAAAAAAAAAAAAAAAAAAGAUAAAAUUUAAAAUUAAUGUUAAAAAAAAAAAAAAAAAAAAAAAUUACAUAAAAUAUUUUACAAUAAUGUAAACUAAUAGUAUUCAUUGGUCGGGUGGUGCUUCAGUAGUAGGCGGGGCUUCAGCAGUCGGCGGGGCCACAGAAGGAGGAGGCGGCAGGAGGUUGAUCAGUUGGAGCUUCACUACGCGGUGCCGCUCCAGAAGACGAAGGCAGAUGCGGUUGGAACAAACCCACAAACCUCCGAUGAUCAAGUAAAAUUUGACCAUCGGUGUCCUGCAUCUGGUCAAUCUUCCUCUUCAUGCUGGUGGCAUAGCUGUGUGCGAGCUUGUGCAAUUCCUUAUUCUCAUGCUUGAGCCCUUUAAUCUCUUGCUUGAGACUCUGUAUUUCAGCCACCAAGGAUUCAACGUGACGGGUUCGGGCAUAUAGGCGUUGGGCCAUGUUGGAUACGGAACCCGCACACUGCACACUGAGAGCCAGAGACUCCUUGACCGCCAAAUUCAUCAGACCGCCUUGCGAGCAGUCUGUUAUCUCUGGGAGUGACAAGGUUUCGGGCCACCACCGCAGCGGUCAUGUCAUUUUUCAUCAUCGAAUCCCCCACGGUAAGGGGACCGGUAGGGGAUAUGAAGGAUGGCCGCCAUAUGUUGUCUGGUGAAGGCGGAGCUGCCUCUUCACCAAUGUUCAAGUCAAAACGACGAUCAGAAGGGCCAGACAUUUUUUCAGAGGUGGUGAAGAAAGAGAGAGGAUGACUGAUCAAGAUUAAACAAGUGCAAGAAGGGAGUGUUUACAGGAGGGUACUCAAGUGUGUUUGUGGAACAAGCUUAACGUCUCUAUAAAAAGGAAGAAAUCAAAAGAGGCGCUCCUCAGAGAAGCGUCCUCUCGCAAAUCGAAGAGUCGGGGCUCCGUUCUCAAACGUCUGAUNGGCAUAUAGGCGUUGGGCCAUGUUGGAUACGGAACCCGCACACUGCACACUGAGAGAGCCAGAGACUCCUUGACCGCCAAUUCAUCAGACCGCCUUGCGAGCAGUCUGUUAUCUCUGGGAGUGACAAGGUUUCGGGCCACCACCGCAGCGGUCAUGUCAUUUUUCAUCAUCGAAUCCCCCACGGUAAGGGGACCGGUAGGGGAUAUGAAGGAUGGCCGCCAUAUGUUGUCUGGUGAAGGCGGAGCUGCCUCUUCACCAAUGUUCAAGUCAAAACGACGAUCAGAAGGGCCAGACAUUUUUCAGAGGUGGUGAAGAAAGAAGAGAGGAUGACUGAUCAAGAUUAAACAAGUGCAAGAAGGGAGUGUUUACAGGAGGGUACUCAAGUGUGUUGUGGAACAAGCUUAACGUCUCUAUAAAAAGGAAGAAAUCAAAGAGGCGCUCCUCAGAGAAGCGUCCUCUCGCAAAUCGAAGAGUCGGGGCUCCGUUCUCAAACGUCUGAUUCUUUUCUCAAAAGAGGAGUUUCCUUUCUCAAAAGCCGGAUUCUUUUCUCAAAAGAGGCGUUUCAUUUCUUAAAGGCUGGGCUUGCUCAGAAACCACGAGCCGAACCCCGGAUUUCAAAAGAUCAAUUUGUCCAGACGUGUCGUCACUUGUCACACGCAAAUUGCUUUGCGGAAAUCUUGGGCAAUUUGUCGAAGCACCAAUUCAGAAAUCGAAGAGGGAAAUUCAACAGUCAAAGACACGCUAGCUUUCUCAAAAGCUGGGCUUCAACCCACGGGAAAAUCUUCUUUUCCAGAUUUAUCCGCACGUGUCACAUGCUACCUCUACAAUCGACGAUGCUCAGAGCUCGAAGCGCCGAUUACAGAUAUCAAUGAGGAAUCAGCUUUGCGGAAAUUACGGGCAGCUUUGUCAGAAAGCGCGUAAUUUGUAUUCUUCACCCAUCCACCGGCUGCCGACACUAAGUGAGAGAACAGUUCCGGUUGUGAAGACAAGUCCUAUAAGUUUCUACCUUCGCCUUCCACAGCAAUAGCACACUCUCUCAGCACACCCUCUCAACACCUCUUUCAUCUCCGAAAAUGCAUUCCCAAAGAAUCCUCUCGAGUCACUCUGUGUUCCUCAUUCCUUGGGAUACUCCUGCGAACAACCCAUUCAAAGCAAAAGUAUUUCAUAUCAUAAAGGUUGAAAGCAAGAGUAUCUCAUAUCAUGCUUUCUCCAUGUCCUUCUCCUUGUCUUUGUUUUCCGACAAGGAGAAAGAGAGCAAUCAGCCAGCAUUUGGUAUCAAUCUUCCAAUCUGGAGCCAACUGCCUGGAACCCUUUCCUGAUUGCUUACCUAGCCUUGCUCUCGAGUACUCAUCUUCUUCAUCUUAUGCUUCCGUUUUGUCUACCACAUCUACUUGGGGGACAAGUAAGGGAGGUGAAAAUGAGACCUCGAAGCAUGUGGAGACAAUUCAGCUAGGGACAAGGAGAAAGAAAGCAAGAGGUGGGCACUUGGAAAGAUUGAAGAAAGAAAUAAGGACCAACACCUUUCCCUCGUGCCUGCCCGUUGUGCAGAAGAAACAAGCAGAGAAGAAUGCAGCUUGCACAAUCAUCCCAGCGGAAGGAGUCCGAACUGAGGAACUAGAGAAGCUGCCACAUUCUGCUUGGAGAACAAAUAAGGAACUGCAACAUUCCCAAAGAGCAAAGCUCCGCCGUACAAUAUCAUCAAAUAGUAAAAAGCUAAGUGUCACCCUGUUCAAGAGGAAAGCUGUGGAAAGUCAACAAGCACGACCAAUGAUUAUUUAUUAGUUUUAUUCAUUAUCUUUUAUCGUAAUUUCAAUUUUUCGUUUGCAAUUUUUUUUAAUUAAUUUUCUUGCGUACUUAACUGAAUUUUUCCUUUUCUUUGCAGGAACUUUUGGUUAUUUCCACCCUUGAAGUUGAUUGCAGAAUUUUAGCUUGGGGGUCAUCGCUUGAUUUUACUGCAAAUUAGGGAAGUUUUCAGUCCAAUUGCGUUAUUUUGUUUCUUAUUAUUUAUUUAUUUUAUUUUAUUUUUUUAUUUGCAUUAUAGUGUUUUCUGACAUUGGGGACAAUGUCCAGUUUAAGUGUGGGGGUAGAAAUCUCCAGAAUUUCAUUUGUUUCUGUGUUGCUGUUUUUUGUGUUCUUAAUUAGUUUUGUUUUCUUUUAAAAAAAAUAAAAAAAUAAAAAAAUAAAAAAAUAAAAAAUCGGAAAAUUUAAAAAUCUAAAAAUAUUGUCUUGUUUCCCUUAUUGUUUUGAAUUAGAUUUUUGUUAGUUUCCCGACCCAAUGAUAUAAUUAGAUCAAAUUUGAAUCACGAUUAUCAAGAACUUAGUUAACAUGUGUUUUAUGAAAUUCCUAAUUCUCUUGUUAGUUUUGUACAUGUUUGAUCAUCUUUGAAAAACCAAAUGCACAUAGCCUUGUUAAUGUGAAACUAAAGUAUGACUUAAAGCUUCAUAUGUGAAUUUAGUGACCAUAUACAUCCUAUGUGAGUUUUUGAGCCUAUUGAAAGUGUGCAUUUUUCAUACACUCCUAUUCUUUCAUGUGUGAUGAACUUAUGUGAGAUACAUCUCUAGAACUUGCGUAACGAUCUUUCGAAAUGUUUGUCAUUGAUUGCAUGAACUUGGAAAUGAUAGAGGCAUUAGGUUUACCACUAUGGCCCAAAUAACUAUGUUCCCCAAAGAAAAAUGAUAUCAUUAGAUUGCCAAUUUGAGCCGUGUAUGUUGAGCCUUUUAUUUCUUAUUUCCAGAUAUGUCUACCCUUAUACCUGAACCAUUUUUUCCUUACCCUUUCCAAGCGAGCAAUGCGAGAUUGUCUUAUGAGAAACGUUUGUGAAGUGCUUUGAAGGUGUGUGGCAAAAGAAUAAGUGUGGGGGUAUUUCAUGUUUGUAUUUAAAAAAAAAAAAAAAAAAAAAAAAAAAAGAAAAAAAAAAGAAGAAAGAUUGUAUACAAAUGAAAUAAAAAGUUUGUCAAUUUUCAGUUUAAGGGUGUGGUUGGAGGUGCUAAAAGAAUCGUUGGAAAUAUUGAGUUCUUAUAAAUCUAAAUAGAAGAAUUGCUUGCAAUGUAGCUUGGAACUUGUGUUUUCCUAUUCUUUCGUUUCAAUAACCCUCUCCUUAAACCUCAUUACGUCCAAUAAAAGUCCUCUUGAUUUAAGUUUUGCAAUUAUGAUUGUGGAGAUGAGAUCUUUAUGCAAGCUUAUGGUAGAAAUUUCACAUUUGAUUCUUUGAGCGAAACACAUUAAAACUAAACACAUGUGUGAUUGAGUGUAUAUCCCGUGAGAAUGUUACUAGUUUGCAUAUGAUGAUUUUAAAAAUAAAAACUUGAAAUUGCAUUAGCAUGGCUAUCUCACACACUACACUUCAAGGAUGAUUCAAAGAUUACUGCUAAUAUUUGAAUAAGGAAGAUGAACUUGGAUUAACUUGUUUGGUGCUAGCUAUGGUUCUUGACGAUUUGUUUUCUCGAAUGAAAUUCUAUGAGGGUCACAUAGGGGGAAACUAAUGUUUUUCAUGUUAGUGCUUUUUCAUGUUUUCUUUGUUUUGCUCGAGGACUAGCAAAAGUUAAGUGUGGGGGUAUUUGAUCGGAUCAUAUUUAUAUAUAUUUUUACUUCGAAUUCACUCAUCUUUUCUUAGUUAGUUCCUUAUAUUUUUGAGCUAUUUACGUUAUUUUUGUGUUUAUAGGAUUUGUUAUGCAAAGAAAAUAAAAAUAGCACAAAUGAGUUUUAAAUAAUAAACAGAAUAGUUACUUCGAACAUUAUGAUUUUUUUGUAGGUCAAUUAAUUUAGUUUAUUCAUUGCGAUUAUAAUUGAAGUCAUUAUUUGUCUAUUUUCUGAUCGCCAACUUCAAGCAAAUUCUCUUGCUUGCAGAGUUCCUAAAGACGUGACCUGCCUAAGAAUUGUGGAAUGCAUUCGGGAGUCAAUACUCGUAGUAAGCUGUUUAGAAGUGCAAUUGCCCAUCAGAUGCUUCUUAGCUGUUAUGAUCAUAAGCAAGUGUGGCUUUCCAACUAGACAACAAAAGGGAUCCAAGGAAGUGGAAGGCUGAGAGACAGCUAGGAGGCAGAAACGAAAAAUAUAAUAGAGCAGACGCGGGGGGGAGACAUAAAAAGGAUUGGGAGCUGCUGGGGCAGCUAAGAGAAAGGAAAUAAAAAAUAAAUAAAGAAACGGUGAAAAGAAUCCAAGGCAGUAGAGAGGUCAGAGUGCGCCAGAGGGGAAAGCAAAAAGCAGACACGGGACGGAUUGGAAAAAGCUGCCUUGGCAGCGUGUGAGAGAGUGAAAGAAAUAGAAGGGAGCAGGAUAAUUAGAAAAAAAAACGUGACGCGGAGAGAGGGGGCUGCCUCUUGGCAGCUCGCGGAGAGCACAGGGCAGUGUGCGGAAAAAUAAAAAAAAAGGCAGAACAGGAGAGGUGAGGACGUGCAGAGAGAGCAGCAUCGGGGAGAAAAAGAAAAUAAAAAAAGAGAGGUCAGAGAGGGAAGCAGGAAAGCUGCCUUUGGCAGCUGGAAAGAAAGCGGAAGAAAGGGGCUGCCCUUUGGGCAGCUCGCAGGAACGUGCAGAGAGCAGUGAGGAAAGGUGAGGCAAGCAAGAGAGAGCAGUGAGGGAAGGAGAGGCGCAGGAAGAGUGAGGACCGUGAGAACAGGAAGGCAGUACGGGAAUACAAGCUGCCUUUGGCAGCUGGCAGUUGACGCGCGGAAAGGAAAGUCAGCACGCUGCCUUGGCAGCGUGAAAAACCAGGAAGGCAGGCCAGCGAGGCGCAGUUCACACGGGCGCGAAAGCAGCAGAUCACCUUCUUUCGGUUUAAUCUUUCCAAACUCCUAUUUUAUUUCUGUUUUUAAUAAUGUGUAAUUAAACUUAUUUUGGCUAGAGGUUAAUUCAAAGCCAUGAAUAUAUUUGUAAUAUGAAUUGAUUACCUUCGGUUGUGAUUUCAUAAGUUGUGAUUUCAAUUUACUUAUCCGUUCGUAUAAAAACUGAUUUGUGUAUGUUGGUUGAGAGUGCACGCUUAAUUUACAUGCAUGAAUUUGAUGCUAGAAUAUAAGUGAAUUUCACCUAAUCGUUAUGAACUUAUUUUCACAAGUAGUAAAGGUUGCUAGUCACAAUCACGUUAAGUAAAUUCUUGGCAAGAGUAUCAUGCUUUUCAUAGUUACGAAUGCCUCGUCAAUGCUUAUAGUUUUCACAAAGUUUAAUGAUCUUUGAUUGUAUCUCUAUUGUGCUUUUCACGUAGGGGACUUUUGAAGAAUGUUUUGAAUUGUUGUAUGCGUUUUUCCGUCCAAUUCAAUAACUUAAGGAAAACUUGAAGAUUAAAAAAGUGCUGUUCACGGUUAAUCUGGAGUAUUGAGAUUCACAAUUUAUUGAAAGAACAACUGAAAAUCAAUUUAGGUUGCAUAUGUGUCAUGUGUGGAGAAGAACCCUCUAGCUAGUCCGUCAUUUAUCAUUUUACCUUAAUUUUAUGUUUUUAUCAAUUCUGUAAUUUAAUUAAGUUUAAUUUAUUUUUCAUCAAAGCCAAACACCCAUCCAUUAUUAAAUUAUAUUAUUUAGUUAGUUUUCUUUAUUGUUAGUCUUUUAAUUUAAUUUCCGUCCAUUUCAAUUCCUAGUGUCUAUUUUGAUUGUUUUUAUUAUUUUGAGUCAUUUUAAGUGUGUUUCGAAUUAUUAGAGUUUUUAGCCUAGUUUUGUGUCCUUGAGUCUUGUUUAAUAUUUUUUACUUUGUUUUUUUAUGUUUUUAAGAGGUUUUAGCAAGCCCUCCUAAUCCCCGGCCUAGAACGAUACCCUACUUAUACUUAUACUACAAUUGACAAAAAGAGGGUUUAAUUUUGUGUGCUUAUAUUUUUCACAUCAGGUUUUGGUUUUGACGAAUUUGAAAACAAAACAAGUAAAUUAAAGAACUAAUGAAAUCUGCACGAAUUUGA
This 7713-nucleotide long non-coding RNA is filed under the name Malus domestica (apple). RNAcentral describes it as "long non-coding RNA (MDOM_LNC003824)". The record is from RNAcentral. Lineage: Eukaryota; Viridiplantae; Streptophyta; Magnoliopsida; Rosales; Rosaceae.